UCGGGAAUUUUGGGCAAUGGGCGAAAGCCUGACCUAGCAACGCCGCGUGAGGGAUGAAGUAUUUCGGUAUGUAAACCUCGAAAGAAUGGGAAGAAUAAAUGACGGUACCAUUUAUAAGCUCCGGCUAACUACGUGCCAGCAGCCGCGGCAAUACGUAGGGAGCAAGCGUUGUUCGGAUUUACUGGGCGUAAAGGGCGCGUAGGCGGCGCGGUAAGUCACUUGUGAAAUCUCUGAGCUUAACUCAGAACGGCCAAGUGAUACUGCUGUGCUAGAGUGCGGAAGAGGCAACCGGAAUUCUUGGUGUAGCGGUGAAAUGCGUAGAUAUCAAGAGGAACACCUGAGGCGAAGGCGGGUUGCUGGGCCGACACUGACGCUGAUGCGCGAAAGCCAGGGGAGCAAACG
This 402-nucleotide ribosomal RNA is filed under the name uncultured bacterium. RNAcentral's name for it is "bacterial SSU rRNA". It matches the Rfam family "Bacterial small subunit ribosomal RNA", at positions 355 to 774 of the family's 1533-position model. The record is from RNAcentral.